This 464-nucleotide ribosomal RNA is filed under the name uncultured Aeromonas sp. Its description in RNAcentral is "bacterial SSU rRNA". It matches the Rfam family "Bacterial small subunit ribosomal RNA", at positions 56 to 510 of the family's 1533-position model. Lineage: Bacteria; Pseudomonadati; Pseudomonadota; Gammaproteobacteria; Aeromonadales; Aeromonadaceae. The record is from RNAcentral.
UGCAGUCGAGCGGCAGCGGGAAAGUAGCUUGCUACUUUUGCCGGCGAGCGGCGGACGGGUGAGUAAUGCCUGGGGAUCUGCCCAGUCGAGGGGGAUAACUACUGGAAACGGUAGCUAAUACCGCAUACGCCCUACGGGGGAAAGCAGGGGACCUUCGGGCCUUGCGCGAUUGGAUGAACCCAGGUGGGAUUAGCUAGUUGGUGAGGUAACGGCUCACCAAGGCGACGAUCCCCAGCUGGUCCGAGAGGAUGAUCAGCCACACUGGAACUGAGACACGGUCCAGACUCCUACGGGAGGCAGCAGUGGGGAAUAUUGCACAAUGGGGGAAACCCUGAUGCAGCCAUGCCGCGUGUGUGAAGAAGGCCUUCGGGUUGUAAAGCACUUUCCGAGGAGGAAAGGUCAGUAGCUAAUAUCUGCUGGCUGUGACGUUACUCGCAGAAGAAGCACCGGCUAACUCCGUGCCA